AGGAGCCCUACCUUGCUGGGGGCCAGGGGGCCAGGAAGCAAACACAUCCCAGAGAAGGGAAGAAAGUGGAAGGACAUUCACAAAUGUUUGUCUAAUAGAUCAGAUGUUUAAAUUAAGGAAAGUGGAAAUGAAAACUAGAGAAUAAACCCACUUAAGUGAGCUGGGGGAGACCGAAGAGCUGCCACACCCCCGGAGGCUGCCAUGGCCGAUGGCCCCAGAGAGAAGGAUUCACCAGGAGAUGCUCCAAACCCACAGCAGGCCAGACUGACUGUGACCCACUGACGGGGGCGCUCUUCACUGUUUGCUCAAGGAGAACACCCUAUUGUGCAAAGAAUCCAAGUUACCCUGCAGACAAAAGAUCAGGAAUUUCGAGGAGUUGAAGCGAAGCUCAGCGAGAGAGGAGAUGCCACCAGCAACCACCUGGAACCGGACCAGGCCUCACCGCAAGACCUCACCUGUGACCUUUGCCUUAUUUUGAAGGGCCUCUGGUGCAGAUCCUCGGGAGCCAGGAGUUCUGGGGCACACAGGAGCACCCCCUGUAUUCGGCGGUGGGAGCACCGG
Equus asinus (donkey) is the source of this 561-nucleotide long non-coding RNA. The record is from Ensembl. NCBI's taxonomy places the organism in Eukaryota, Metazoa, Chordata, Mammalia, Perissodactyla, Equidae.